This 606-nucleotide ribosomal RNA is filed under the name uncultured bacterium. Its description in RNAcentral is "bacterial SSU rRNA". It matches the Rfam family "Bacterial small subunit ribosomal RNA", at positions 63 to 672 of the family's 1533-position model. The record is from RNAcentral.
CGAAGCACUGGAGAACGAAUCUUCGGAGGACUUUUAAAUUGACUGAGUGGCGGACGGGUGAGUAACGCGUGGGUAACCUGCCUCACACAGGGGGGAUAACAGUUGUUCUAAAAAGCUAAUACCGCAUAAGCCGGAAGGAUCGCAUGAUUCGGCCGGAAAAGAUUUAUCGGUGUGAGAUGGACCCGCGUCUGGUUAGCCAGUUGGCAGGGUAACGGCCUACCAAAGCGACGAUCAGUAGCCGGCCUGAGAGGGUGAACGGCCACAUUGGGACUGAGACACGGCCCAAACUCCUACGGGAGGCAGCAGUGGGGAAUAUUGCACAAUGGGGGAAUUUUUUAUGCAGCGACGCCGCGUGAGUGAAGAAGUAUUUCGGUAUGUAAAGCUCUAUUUUUUUGGAAGACAAUGACGGUACCUGACUAAGAAGCCCCGGCUAACUACGUGCCAGCAGCCGCGGUAAUACGUAGGGGGCAAGCGUUAUCCGGAUUUACUGGGUGUAAAGGGAGCGUAGACGGCCAGACAAGUCAGAAGUGAAAGCCCAGGGCUCAACCCUGGGACUGCUUUUGAAACUGCCGGGCUGGAGUGCAGGAGAGGUAAGCGGAAUUCCUA